RNAcentral lists this unclassified non-coding RNA (325 nucleotides) under uncultured fungus. RNAcentral describes it as "partial contains small subunit ribosomal RNA, internal transcribed spacer 1, and 5.8S ribosomal RNA". The stretch from base 1 to 73 matches the Rfam family "Eukaryotic small subunit ribosomal RNA", at positions 1759 to 1831 of the family's 1831-position model. The record is from RNAcentral. Lineage: Eukaryota; Fungi.
GCAAACUUGGUCAUUUAGAGGAAGUAAAAGUCGUAACAAGGUUUCCGUAGGUGAACCUGCGGAAGGAUCAUUACAAAAUUCUGAAUGUUAUCCAUUCGAAUUUCCACUCUGCGUAUCUACCUCUGUAUGCUUCCGUUGGGCUGUGGGCUGUUCUUGAACUGCCCCCUUCUAUCUGGGCAAAAGUUUGGAUUGGAAGUGUCCUGGCGGGAGCCAUUAAUUUUAAACUCCUUUGAAUUUGUUUACAUGUCUGAUAAUGAUUUUAAAAUAAUCUUUUAAAACUUUCAACAAUGGAUCUCUUGGUUCUCGCAUCGAUGAAGAACGCAGC